GAUGAACGCUAGCUACAGGCUUAACACAUGCAAGUCGAGGGACCGGCGCACGGGUGAGUAACACGUAUCCAACCUGCCCUUUACUCGGGGAUAGCCUUUCGAAAGAAAGAUUAAUACCCGAUAUAAAGGAUGGGGAUGCGUUCCAUUAGGUUGUUGGUGAGAUAACGGCCCACCAAGCCUUCGAUUGAUAGGGGUUCUGAGAGGAAGGUCCCCCAGAUAGGAACGAAGACACGAUCCAAACUCCUGCGGGAGGAAGCAGUGAGGAAGAGUGGUGAAUGGGCGGUAGCCGGAACCAGCCAAGGAGCAUGAAGGAGGAAGGAUUAUGGGUCGUAAACUUAUUGUAUAUAAGAAUAUGUAUUAUAUGAAUAAGGAUCGGCUAACUCCGUGCCAGCAGCCGCGGUAAUUC
This 406-nucleotide ribosomal RNA is filed under the name uncultured bacterium. Its description in RNAcentral is "partial 16S ribosomal RNA". It matches the Rfam family "Bacterial small subunit ribosomal RNA", at positions 28 to 526 of the family's 1533-position model. The record is from RNAcentral.